This 310-nucleotide long non-coding RNA is filed under the name Nicotiana benthamiana. RNAcentral's name for it is "long non-coding RNA (NBEN_LNC032648)". The record is from RNAcentral. Lineage: Eukaryota; Viridiplantae; Streptophyta; Magnoliopsida; Solanales; Solanaceae.
GACACAAGCAAGACAAAACAAAAUAAUAAAGCAUAAGUACUCCCGCAAAAAUAACAUAAAUAAUUCUGAAGACAUAAGCAACAUAAAUACAGUCGCAUUCAAUAAUAACAAGCAGUAACUACCAUACUAACGACCAUAAUCACCUAUGGGUGACCCAACUAUCCCACACCCCACCCCCGGGAGAACGAACGAAGAACUCUAUGAGCCACUAGCCUACAAUCCUGAUUCUAGACCUCCAGACUCCCCUAUCAAGGGUCAUGUCCUCGGUAACCUGCAUUCUGGUCAUGUCCUGCCUAAUCACCUCUCCCNN